RNAcentral lists this ribosomal RNA (497 nucleotides) under uncultured bacterium. RNAcentral describes it as "partial 16S ribosomal RNA". It matches the Rfam family "Bacterial small subunit ribosomal RNA", at positions 28 to 507 of the family's 1533-position model. The record is from RNAcentral.
GAUGAACGCUGGCGGCGUGCCUAAUACAUGCAAGUCGAGCGAACAGACGAGGAGCUUGCUCCUUCGACGUUAGCGGCGGACGGGUGAGUAACACGUAGGUAACCUACCUAUAAGACUGGGAUAACUUCGGGAAACCGGAGCUAAUAAUGGACAAUAUUUCGAACCGCAUGGUUCGAUAGAGAAAGAUGGCUUUGCUAUCACUUAUAGAUGGACCUGCGCCGGAUUAGCUAGUUGGUAAGGUAACGGCUUACCAAGGCAACGAUACGUAGCCGACCUGAGAGGGUGAUCGGCCACACUGGAACUGAGACACGGUCCAGACUCCUACGGGAGGCAGCAGUAGGGAAUCUUCCGCAAUGGGCGCAAGCCUGACGGAGCAACGCCGCGUGAGUGAUGAAGGUCUUCGGAUCGUAAAACUCUGUUAUUAGGGAAGAACAAACGUGUAAGUAACUGUGCACGUCUUGACGGUACCUAAUCAGAAAGCCACGGCUAACUACGUG